This is a long non-coding RNA of Dreissena polymorpha, 171 nucleotides long. RefSeq lists it as uncharacterized. The record is from RefSeq and is a predicted model, not a curated record. The transcript has 3 exons. Lineage: Eukaryota; Metazoa; Mollusca; Bivalvia; Myida; Dreissenidae.
AAAUGAAUAUCCUGGUGUCACCAGUUUUCGCCGAUAGUCGUCGACAUCGUCCUCAGAGGUGGCAGCUUCAUGAUGAAUUUCAUCCAAGACAUUUGAAGGGUUCAUGGAUGAGGGCGUACAUUAUCAAUAAUUUGCGCGCAUCGUUUUUCGAAAAAAUCAACAGAUGUUCCA